This 72-nucleotide transfer RNA is filed under the name Bos taurus (domestic cattle). It matches the Rfam family "tRNA". Rfam says of the family: Transfer RNA (tRNA) molecules are approximately 80 nucleotides in length. Lineage: Eukaryota; Metazoa; Chordata; Mammalia; Artiodactyla; Bovidae. The record is from Rfam by way of RNAcentral. RNAcentral also lists the same sequence under 4 other names.
UCCCUUGUGUCUCAGUAGGUAAAGAAUCUGCCUGCAACGCAGGAGACCUGAGUUCAAUCCUUGGGUUGGGAA